This 484-nucleotide ribosomal RNA is filed under the name uncultured bacterium. Its description in RNAcentral is "partial 16S ribosomal RNA". It matches the Rfam family "Bacterial small subunit ribosomal RNA", at positions 30 to 507 of the family's 1533-position model. The record is from RNAcentral.
AUUGAACGCUAGCGGGAUGCUUUACACAUGCAAGUCGAACGGCAGCGCGGACUUCGGUCUGGCGGCGAGUGGCGAACGGGUGAGUAAUGUAUCGGAACGUGCCCAGUAGCGGGGGAUAACUACGCGAAAGCGUAGCUAAUACCGCAUACGCCCUACGGGGGAAAGCAGGGGAUCGUAAGACCUUGCACUCUUGGAGCGGCCGAUAUCGGAUUAGCUAGUUGGUGAGGUAACGGCUCACCAAGGCGACGAUCCGUAGCUGGUUUGAGAGGACGACCAGCCACACUAGGACUGAGACACGGCCCAGACUCCUACGGGAGGCAGCAGUGGGGAAUUUUGGACAAUGGGGGCAACCCUGAUCCAGCCAUCCCGCGUGUGCGAUGAAGGCCUUCGGGUUGUAAAGCACUUUUGGCAGGAAAGAAACGUCGCGGGCUAAUACCCCGUGGAACUGACGGUACCUGCAGAAUAAGCACCGGCUAACUACGUG